UUAAUUGAAACCAAAAUUGAGGUGUAUUAUUGUUAAUAAUAUUAUUGAAUAAUAAUUCCAAUUAAG
This 66-nucleotide transfer RNA is filed under the name Sclerogryllus punctatus. RNAcentral describes it as "tRNA-Asn". Lineage: Eukaryota; Metazoa; Arthropoda; Insecta; Orthoptera; Gryllidae. The record is from RNAcentral.